CCCCUAGACAUCCUGGGCCGCACGCGUUCUACAAUGAUGCAUUCAGAAAGUUUUCCUGGCCUGAAAAGGUUUCGGGUAAUCUCGAAAAUAUGCAUCGUGAUAGGGAUAGAUCUUUGCAAUUAUAGAUCUUGAACGAGGAAUACCUUGUAAGUGCAAGUCAUCAGCUUGUACUGAAUCGGUCCCUGCCUUUUGUACACACCGCCCGUCGCUUCUACUGACGAAUGCUCCGGUGAACCUUCUGGACUGUGUCGGGUCUCGGCCCGACCGGGAAGUUAUGUAAACCAAUGCAUUUGGAAGAAGAAGAAGUCGUANCA
RNAcentral lists this ribosomal RNA (314 nucleotides) under uncultured eukaryote. Its description in RNAcentral is "partial 18S ribosomal RNA". It matches the Rfam family "Eukaryotic small subunit ribosomal RNA", at positions 1470 to 1796 of the family's 1831-position model. The record is from RNAcentral.